UAAGUAUAUAUAUGGUAGUUGUUGAAGCAGUUCUUGUCUCGUUUGACAAUAUAAACAUCCUAUUUAUAUCAUAUAUGCAUGCUUGUUAUUUGAUGUAUGAUGAUCAUCUGCCUAAAUUGAUAUUUACAUGGUGAAUGCACGUGGCACGUAAUCUCACCGUCAACUGCUAUUAAAAUCUAUUAUAUGUUGUUAAUAUGAAUGAUGAUGGUGAUGAUAUUACACACAUAAUGUUAUGGAUAGUCGACACAUAUGUAA
This 255-nucleotide long non-coding RNA is filed under the name Brassica napus (rape). RNAcentral's name for it is "long non-coding RNA (BNAP_LNC022028)". The record is from RNAcentral. Lineage: Eukaryota; Viridiplantae; Streptophyta; Magnoliopsida; Brassicales; Brassicaceae.